UUGAAAGGGAAACGAUUGAAGUCAGUCGUACCGACGAGAAAUCAGCUUUUCGAAUGUGCAUUUGUGGGCGUAUGAGAUCUUCAUUGUUUGCAAUAUGUAUGUUUCUUUGGUGUACUUUUUCGUAUGGUAGGUCAAUGUCGGUUUUGAUCGCCAUAAAAUGAUCGGAGGAAUGUAGCUUCGGCUUCGGUUGAAGUGUUAUAGCCUUUGGUAAAUGUGGUGAUUAGGACCGAGGAUUGCAACGAAUACCUUUUAGGCUAUCCGUCUGACCUCUGAAAGUUACUUAGGUGCCGAAAGCUUGCUUACGGCAUUUAAGUUGACGGUCAAUAGGUUAGAACGUGAUUACAUUCGUUAAGGAUGUUGACGUA
RNAcentral lists this ribosomal RNA (365 nucleotides) under uncultured Glomeromycotina. RNAcentral's name for it is "LSU rRNA". Lineage: Eukaryota; Fungi; Glomeromycota. The record is from RNAcentral.